RNAcentral lists this ribosomal RNA (446 nucleotides) under uncultured bacterium. RNAcentral describes it as "partial 16S ribosomal RNA". It matches the Rfam family "Bacterial small subunit ribosomal RNA", at positions 354 to 796 of the family's 1533-position model. The record is from RNAcentral.
GUAGGGAAUAUUGGACAAUGGGGGGAACCCUGAUCCAGCCAUGCCGCGUGGAGGAAGACUGCCCUCUGGGUUGUAAACUCCUUUUAUAUGGGAAGAACCGUCCUCAUUAAUGAGUGACCUGACGGUACCAUAGGAAUAAGCACCGGCUAACUCCGUGCCAGCAGCCGCGGUAAUACGGAGGGUGCAAGCGUUAUCCGGAUUCACUGGGUUUAAAGGGUGCGUAGGCGGAUAAAUAAGUCAGUGGUGAAAUCAACGGGCUCAACCUGUUAACUGCCAUUGAUACUGUGUAUCUUGAAUAUGAGAGAGGUAGGCGGAAUGUUGCAUGUAGCGGUGAAAUGCUUAGAUAUGCUACGGAACACCAAUUGCGAAGGCAGCUUACUAUUUCGUAAUUGACGCUGAGGCACGAAAGCGUGGGUAGCGAACAGGAUUAGAUACCCCGGUAGUCC